UGGCGGACGGGUGAGUAAUGUCUGGGAAACUGCCUGAUGGAGGGGGAUAACUACUGGAAACGGUAGCUAAUACCGCAUAACGUCGCAAGACCAAAGAGGGGGACCUUCGGGCCUCUUGCCAUCGGAUGUGCCCAGAUGGGAUUAGCUAGUAGGUGGGGUAACGGCUCACCUAGGCGACGAUCCCUAGCUGGUCUGAGAGGAUGACCAGCCACACUGGAACUGAGACACGGUCCAGACUCCUACGGGAGGCCAGCAUG
This 257-nucleotide ribosomal RNA is filed under the name uncultured bacterium. Its description in RNAcentral is "partial 16S ribosomal RNA". It matches the Rfam family "Bacterial small subunit ribosomal RNA", at positions 96 to 349 of the family's 1533-position model. The record is from RNAcentral.